CUUAUCAAGAGUGGUGGAGGGAUCGGCCCGAUGAAGCCCGGCAACCUGCCCGGCGUGCAAGCGCAUGGCAAGGUGCUAAUUCCGGCGGUAUGUAUCGAAAGAUGAGG
This 107-nucleotide non-coding RNA is filed under the name human gut metagenome. RNAcentral's name for it is "SAM riboswitch (S box leader)". It matches the Rfam family "SAM riboswitch aptamer (S box leader)". From Rfam's summary of the family: The SAM riboswitch is found upstream of a number of genes which code for proteins involved in methionine or cysteine biosynthesis in Gram-positive bacteria. The SAM riboswitch acts at the level of transcription termination control. The predicted structure consists of a complex stem-loop region followed by a single stem loop terminator region. The record is from RNAcentral.